This 207-nucleotide ribosomal RNA is filed under the name uncultured bacterium. RNAcentral's name for it is "partial 16S ribosomal RNA". It matches the Rfam family "Bacterial small subunit ribosomal RNA", at positions 568 to 774 of the family's 1533-position model. The record is from RNAcentral.
UGCGUAGGCGGUUUACUAAGUCAGAUGUGAAAGCCCCGGGCUUAACCUGGGAACUGCAUUUGAUACUGGUAGGCUAGAGUAUGAUAGAGGGGGGUAGAAUUCCUGGUGUAGCGGUGAAAUGCGUAGAUAUCAGGAGGAAUACCAGUGGCGAAGGCGGCCCCCUGGAUCAAUACUGACGCUGAGGUACGAGAGCGUGGGUAGCGAACA